CCCUUAGAUGUUCUGGGCUGCACGCGCGCUACAUUGUUGCUUCCAACGGGUUGUCGGUUUUGAGAAUUUAUCGUAAAUUCUAGAAACAAGCAGCGUAACUGGGAUAGACUAUUGUAAUUAUUACUCUUCAACGAGGAAUUCCUAGUAGGAGCGGUUCAACAGACCGUUCUGAUUACGUCCCUGCCCUUUGUACACACCGCCCGUCGCUCCUACCGAGUGGGUGGUCCGGUGAAUUAUUUGGACUCCGGUUAUUCCAGCAUUUGGUUUUGCUGGGGAAAGUUUCGUGAACCUUAUCACUUGGAGGAAGGAGAANUCGUAACA
This 321-nucleotide ribosomal RNA is filed under the name uncultured eukaryote. RNAcentral's name for it is "partial 18S ribosomal RNA". It matches the Rfam family "Eukaryotic small subunit ribosomal RNA", at positions 1470 to 1796 of the family's 1831-position model. The record is from RNAcentral.